GACGAACGCUGGCGGCGUGCCUAACACAUGCAAGUCGAACGGAAAGGCCCUGCUUUUGUGGGGUGCUCGAGUGGCGAACGGGUGAGUAACACGUGAGUAACCUGCCCUUGACUUUGGGAUAACUUCAGGAAACUGGGGCUAAUACCGGAUAUGAGCUACUGCUGCACAGUGGGGGUUGGUAAGUUUCGGCGGUUUGGGAUGGACUCGCUGCUUAUGAGCUUGUUGGGGGGGUAGGCGCUGUCAAAGGCUUUGACGGGUAGCCGGCCUGAGAGGGUGACCGGCCACAUGGCGCCUGCGGUACGGCCCAGACUCCUACGUGCGGCAGUAGUCGGGAAUAUUGCACAAUGGGCCGACGUCAGAGGCAGCAACCCCGCGUGCGUGAUGACGGCUUUCGGGUGGUAAACCACUUUCGCCUGUGACGAAGAGUGAGUGACGGUAAUGGGUAAAGAAGCACCGGCUAACUACGUG
Molecule: ribosomal RNA, 468 nt
Filed under: uncultured bacterium
Lineage: Bacteria
Description: partial 16S ribosomal RNA
Rfam family: Bacterial small subunit ribosomal RNA
Source: RNAcentral